Molecule: ribosomal RNA, 563 nt
Filed under: Zeugopterus punctatus (topknot)
Lineage: Eukaryota; Metazoa; Chordata; Actinopteri; Pleuronectiformes; Scophthalmidae
Description: partial 16S ribosomal RNA
Rfam family: Bacterial large subunit ribosomal RNA
Source: RNAcentral
AUAAGAGGUCCCGCCUGCCCAGUGACACCCAGUUUAACGGCCGCGGUAUUUUGACCGUGCAAAGGUAGCGUAAUCACUUGUCUUUUAAAUGAAGACCUGUAUGAAUGGCAUAACGAGGGCUUAACUGUCUCCUUUUUCAAGUCAAUGAAGUUGAUUUCCCCGUGCAGAAGCGGAGAUACUAACAUAAGACGAGAAGACCCUAUGGAGCUUGAGACGACAAGACAGCCCAUGUUAAACACCCCGCCCCCCACCGGAUUAAACUAAAUGACCCCUGCCUUAGUGUCUUCGGUUGGGGCGACCCUGGGGAACACAAAACCCCCACGUGGAAUGGGAGCAGCCACCCCACCUACUCCCCCAAAUUAGAGCCACACCUCAAAUUAACAGAAUUUUUGACCAGAAUGAUCCGGCAACGCCGAUCAACGGACCAAGUUACCCUAGGGAUAACAGCGCAAUCCCCUUUUAGAGCCCAUAUCGACAAGGGGGUUUACGACCUCGAUGUUGGAUCAGGACAUCCUAAUGGUGCAGCCGCUAUUAAGGGUUCGUUUGUUCAACGAUUAAAGUCC